This 1263-nucleotide ribosomal RNA is filed under the name Helcomeria spinosa. RNAcentral describes it as "16S ribosomal RNA". The stretch from base 1019 to 1177 matches the Rfam family "Bacterial large subunit ribosomal RNA", at positions 2473 to 2632 of the family's 2925-position model. Lineage: Eukaryota; Metazoa; Arthropoda; Insecta; Hemiptera; Coreidae. The record is from RNAcentral.
UAAUAUGAAGGUUGUUAUUUUUUUUAUUAUUUAUAAUUUUAUUGGAAAUAAUUUUUUUUUAGUAGUUGUUUAAUGAAAUAAUUAAUAUAACAAUAGUUUAUUUUACUGUAAAGGAGUUUUUUUUAUUAAUUUUAAGCAUACUUUAUUUGUUGUACCUUUUGUAUCAGGGUUUAUUAAUUAUAAAUUAAUUAUUUAAUUUUCCCGAAAUUAGAAGAGAUAUAUUUUUAUGAUAGUUUACGUAUUAUAGUAAUUUUUAAUAAAAAUUUAGGAGUUAUAUGCUAUUCAUUUUUAAAUAUCUGGUUAUUCAAUAAAUUAAUUCAAUUAAUACUGGAAGAUUUAGUUAUUUUAUAAAUUUAUUUUUUUUAAUUUUUUCAGUUAAAAUUAUAGGGGAUAAGCUCUAAUAAUUGUUUUAUAAUCUUUUUAAUUAUUUAAAUUAUGUAGGCUUGACAACAGCCAUCAAUUAUUUCGUUAUAGUUAAUUUUUAAUGUUUAUUAAUUUAUUAUGAUUUAAAUUUUUAUUGAAUUAUUUAAUUUAAUUUUUAUUUUUUAGAAAUAAUGAUAUAAUUAGUAGUGUUGAAUAUUUAAAUAUAGGAAUUCGGCAAGUUUAGUUCUCGCCUGUUUAUCAAAAACAUGUCUUAUAGAUUAUUAAUUUUAAGUCUAAUCUGCCCGGUGAUUUAUUAAACGGCCGCAGUAUUUUGACUGUGCGAAGGUAGCAUAAUCAUUUGUCUCUUAAUUGGAGGCUUGUAUGAAUGAUUGGACGAGGAAUUAACUUUCUUUAUUUAAAUUUUUAUGAAUUUGAUUUUUUAGUUAAAAAGCUUAAAUUUUUUUGCAAGACGAGAAGACCCUAUAGAGUUUUAUUAUUUAUGGUAUUUUUUUUAAUAAGUUGUUGAUUAAUUAAAGUUAAAUAAAUAAUUUUGUUGGGGCGAUAUUGAAAUUUUAUUAACUUUCAUAUUUAAUUUAUCAUUGAUUUAUGUUUUUUUGAUCCUUUAUUAUGGAUUAUUAGAUUUAAUUACCUUAGGGAUAACAGCGUAAUUUUUUUGGAGAGUUCAUAUCGAUAAAAAAGUUUGCGACCUCGAUGUUGGAUUAAAGUUAGUUUUAGGUGUAGCAGCUAUAAAACUGAGUCUGUUCGACUUUUAAAUCUUUACAUGAUCUGAGUUCAGACCGGCGUGAGCCAGGUUGGUUUCUAUCUGCAAUGGUUAAAAUUAUGUUUUAGUACGAGAGGACCAAAUAUAAGUAAAAUUUAUUAAAAUUUUGAUUAAUAUUA